GGUCCGCCAGAUUAUUACAAGUAAAAGCUUAAAACUCAAAGGACUUGACGGUGUUCCACACACAACCUAGAGGAGCCUGUCCUAUAAUCGAUGAUCCACGAAAGACCCGACCACCUUUUGCCAAACAACCUAUAUACCGCCGUCACAAGUUCACCUCAUGAAGGGAGAAAAGUGGACAAAAUAGCCAAACACAAAUACGCCAGGUCAAGGUGUAGUUCAUAGGGUGGACAGAGAUGGGCUACAUUUCCUACUAAAGGAAAAACGGAAGAUAAAAUGAAAGUCAAUCGGAAGGAGGAUUUAGUAGUAA
RNAcentral lists this ribosomal RNA (307 nucleotides) under Antillotyphlops richardi (Richard's worm snake). RNAcentral describes it as "partial 12S ribosomal RNA". It matches the Rfam family "Bacterial small subunit ribosomal RNA", at positions 866 to 1341 of the family's 1533-position model. The record is from RNAcentral. Lineage: Eukaryota; Metazoa; Chordata; Lepidosauria; Squamata; Typhlopidae.